UGGAUGCAGUGCUCAUGCAGUGAUGAAGUAUGUUGUGAUGGACGAUGCAGUGCCCAUGAAGGAAGAUGCAGUGAUCCUGCAGUGAUUGCAGUGCCACUACAGCUGGUUCUAGAUUCACUGAAGGGGUUGCAGUGCCUGAUGCACUGUCCCUGAACUUGGCUGCAGUGCCCAUACAAUGGUUUCAGUGUCACUGAAGGCAGAUACAGUAUGUUGUGUUGGAGGAAGCAGUGGCCAUGAAGGUGGAUGCAGUGAUCCUGCAGUGGUUGCAGUGCCCCCUUCAGGUUCCCUGAAUGCUGAUGCAGUGAACAAGCAGUGAAUGCACUGAAUAUUCAGUGAUUGCAGUGCACAUGCAGUGCCACUGCAGCUGAAUGCAGUGUUGCUGCCGUGGUUGCAGAGCCCACUGCCGUUUCUGUGAUUGUGGAUGCAGGGCCCAUGCAGCCUCUGCAGUGUGACCCAAAUUGGAUGCAGUAUGUUGUGAAGUAGGAUGCAGUACACAUGAAGGAGGAUGCAGUUAUCCUGCAUUCAUUGCACUGCACCUGCAGUGUCAAUUCAUCUGGAUGCAGUGUCCCUGAAUGUGGAUUGAAUGCUCAUGCACUGAUGAUGUAUGUUGUCAUGGAGGAUGCAGUGACCAUGAAGGCUGAUGCAGUGAUCCUGCAGUGAUUGCAGGGCAUCUGAAGUGCACUUCAGGUGAAUCCAGUGUCCCUGCAGGGGUUGCAGUGUCUGUUGCACUGUCCGUGAACGUGGAUGCAGUGCCCAUGCAAUGGCUGCAGUUUCACAGAAGUUAGAUGCAGUAUGUUGUGUUGGAGGAAGCAGUGGCCAUGAAGGUGGAUGCAGUGAUCCUGCAGUGGUUGCACUGCCCCGUGCAGGGUCCCUCAAUGAGAAUGCUGUGCCCUUGCAAAGGAUUCAGUGCUCCACAAGGUGAAUGCAGUAUGUUAUGUCAGAUGAUGCAUUGCCCAUGAAGGUGCAUGCAGUGUUCCUGCACUGGUUGUCAUGAACCCUUCUCUGUCCCUGAUUGUGGAUGCAGUGCACAUGCAGUGUAUGCAGUGUCCCAUAAGGCAGAUGCAGUAUGUUGUAACGGAGGAUGCAGUGCCCAUGAAGGUGGAUGCAGUGAUCAUGCAGAGGUUUCUGUGCACCCUGCAGUGUCCCUUAAUGUGGAUGCAACGAACAUGAUGUAUAUGCAGUGAAGAUUCAAUGAUUGCGGUGCACCUGCUGUGCCACUUCAGCUUCAGACAGUGUUCCUGCAGUGGUUGCAGUGCUGCCUGCAUUGUCCGUGUAUGUGGAUGCAGUGCCCAGGCAGUGGAUGCAGUGUCAGACAAGUUGGAUGCAGUAUGUUGUGACAGAAGAUGAAUAGCUCAUGAAGGUGGAUGCAGUGAUCCUGCAGUGGGUUCCGUGCACAAUGCAGUGUCCCUGAAUGCGGAUGCAGUGAACAAGCAGUUGAUGCACUGAACAUUCAGUGAUUGCAGUGCACCUGCAGUGCCACUUCCGCUGAAUUCAGUGUUGCUGCAGUGGUUGCAGAGCCCACUGCAGUGUCUCUGAAUGUGGAUGCAGGGCCAAUGCAACCUCUGCAGUGUGCCCAAAGGUGGAGGCAGUAUGUUGUGAAGUAGGAUGCAGUGCCCAUCAAGGAGGAUGCAGUGAUCCUGCAUUCAUUGCAGUGCACCUACAGUGUCAAUUCAUCUGGAUGCAGUGUCCCUGAAUGUGGAUACAAUGCUAAUGCAGUGAUGAUGUAUGUUGUGAUGGAGGAUGCAGUGCCCAUGAAGGCAGAUGCAGUGAUUCUACAGUGAUUGCAGUGCAUCUGCAGUGCCACUUCUGGUGGAUCCAGUGUCGCUGCAGUGUAUGCAGUGCCUGUUGCACUGUCCCUGAACGUGGAUGCAGUGCCCAUGCAAUGGCUGCAGUGUCACUGAAGGUAGAUGCAGUAUGUUUUGUUGGAGGAAGCAGUGGCCAUGAAGGUGGAUGCAGUGAUCCUGCAGUGGUUGCAGUGCUCUCUGCAGGGUCCCUGAAUGAGGAUGCCGUGCCCUUGCAGUGGAUCCCGCGCCCCACACGGUGGAUGCAGUAUGCUAUGAAGGAAGAUUCAUUGCCCAUGAAGGAG
Equus caballus (horse) is the source of this 2086-nucleotide long non-coding RNA. Lineage: Eukaryota; Metazoa; Chordata; Mammalia; Perissodactyla; Equidae. The record is from Ensembl.